AGCCGUUUAGCUCAGCGGUAGAGCACUCCAUUCACAUUGGAGGGGUCAGUGGUUCAAAUCCACUAACGGCUA
RNAcentral lists this transfer RNA (72 nucleotides) under candidate division WWE3 bacterium RIFCSPLOWO2_01_FULL_42_11. RNAcentral describes it as "tRNA-Val". It matches the Rfam family "tRNA". Rfam says of the family: Transfer RNA (tRNA) molecules are approximately 80 nucleotides in length. Their secondary structure includes four short double-helical elements and three loops (D, anti-codon, and T loops). Lineage: Bacteria; candidate division WWE3. The record is from RNAcentral.